Molecule: ribosomal RNA, 255 nt
Filed under: uncultured bacterium
Lineage: Bacteria
Description: partial 16S ribosomal RNA
Rfam family: Bacterial small subunit ribosomal RNA
Source: RNAcentral
ACGGGUGAGUAACGCGUGAGUAACCUGCCUUUCAGAGGGGGAUAACGUUCUGAAAAGAACGCUAAUACCGCAUGAGACUACAGAGCUGCAUGGCUCAGUGGUCAAAGGAGCAAUCCGCUGAAAGAUGGACUCGCGUCCGAUUAGAUAGUAGGCGGGGUAACGGCCCACCUAGUCGACGAUCGGUAGCCGGACUGAGAGGUUGAACGGCCACAUUGGGACUGAGACACGGCCCAGACUCCUACGGGAGGCAGCAUG